AGUGAACGCUGGCGGCAUGGUUAAGACAUGCAAGUCGAACGAAAAGCAAAUCUUCGGAUUUGUGGAAAGUGGCGAACGGGUGCGUAACACGUGAGCAACCUGCCCUAAAGUGCGGAACAGCCUGUCGAAAGAUGGAUUAAUGCCGCAUGUGGCUCUUCUUCGCAUGAAGAAGUAGCUAAAGCUUGUAAUGGCGCUUUAGGAUGGGCUCGCGGCCUAUCAGCUUGUUGGUAAGGUAACGGCUUACCAAGGCUAAGACGGGUAGCUGGUCUGAGAGGAUGAUCAGCCACACCGGGACUGAGACACGGCCCGGACACCUACGGGUGGCAGCAGUUUCGAAUCAUUCACAAUGGGCGAAAGCCUGAUGAUGCAAUGCCGCGUGGAGGAUGAAGGCCUUAGGGUCGUAAACUCCUGUCAUUGGGGAGCAACAAAUAGGUUCAUAGCCUAUCAUGAGUUAACCCAAAGAGGAAGAGGUGGCUAACUCCG
Molecule: ribosomal RNA, 483 nt
Filed under: uncultured Puniceicoccaceae bacterium
Lineage: Bacteria; Pseudomonadati; Verrucomicrobiota; Opitutia; Puniceicoccales; Puniceicoccaceae
Description: bacterial SSU rRNA
Rfam family: Bacterial small subunit ribosomal RNA
Source: RNAcentral